Molecule: ribosomal RNA, 113 nt
Filed under: Periophthalmus magnuspinnatus
Lineage: Eukaryota; Metazoa; Chordata; Actinopteri; Gobiiformes; Gobiidae
Source: RNAcentral
CUAUGUGACCAAACCUUCUUGUCAAAGCCUCGUCAGAUCUGAGACACUAAGCAGAGCUGGGCUUGGUUAGUAUUUGGAUGGGAGACCACUGGGAAAACCAAGUGCCACAGUGG